AUACAGAGGGUGCGAGCGUUAAUCGGAAUUACUGGGCGUAAAGCGUACGUAGGCGGACUGAUCAGUUGGGGGUGAAAUCCCAGGGCUUAACCCUGGAACUGCCUUCAAUACUGUCAGUCUUGAGAUUGGAAGAGGUGAGUGGAAUUCCUAGUGUAGAGGUGAAAUUCAUAGAUAUUAGGAGGAACACCAGUGGCGAAGGCGGCUCACUGGCUCGAUACUGACGCUGAGGUGCGAAAGCGUGGGGAGCAAACAGGAUUAGAAACCCUAGUAGUCC
RNAcentral lists this ribosomal RNA (274 nucleotides) under uncultured bacterium. RNAcentral describes it as "partial 16S ribosomal RNA". It matches the Rfam family "Bacterial small subunit ribosomal RNA", at positions 523 to 796 of the family's 1533-position model. The record is from RNAcentral.